GACGAACGCUGGCGGCGUGCUUAACACAUGCAAGUCGAACGGAAAGGCCCUGCUUUUUUGGGGUUCUCGAGUGGCGAACGGGUGCGUAACACGUGAGUAACCUGCCCUUGACUUAGGGAUAACUUCAGGAAACUGGGGCUAAUACCGGAUAGGAGCUCCUACUGCAUGGUGGGGGUUGGAAAGUUUCGGCGGUUGGGGGUGGACUCGCGGCUUAUCAGCUUGUUGGUGGGGUAGUGGCUUACCAAGGCUUUGACGGGUAGCCGGCCUGAGAGGGUGACCGGCCACAAUGGGACUGAGAGACGGCCCAGACUCCUACGGGAGGCAGCAGUGGGGAAUAUGGCACAAUGGGCGGAAGCCUGAUGCAGCAACGCCGCGUGCGGGAUGACGGCCUUCGGGUUGUAAACCGCUUUCGCCUGUGACGAAGCGGGAGUGACGGUAAUGGGUAAAGAAGCACCGGCUAACUACGUG
This 468-nucleotide ribosomal RNA is filed under the name uncultured bacterium. Its description in RNAcentral is "partial 16S ribosomal RNA". It matches the Rfam family "Bacterial small subunit ribosomal RNA", at positions 28 to 507 of the family's 1533-position model. The record is from RNAcentral.